Non-coding RNA from Picea glauca (white spruce), 1058 nucleotides. The record is from Rfam. NCBI's taxonomy places the organism in Eukaryota, Viridiplantae, Streptophyta, Pinopsida, Pinales, Pinaceae.
UAUUUGAGGAAUAAGCAUUAGCUAACUCUGUGCCAGCAGUCGCGGUAAGACAGAGGAUGCAAGCGUUAUCCAUAAUGAUUGGGCGUAAAGCGUCUGUAGGUGGAUUUUCAAGUCCGCCGUCAAAUCCCAGGGCUCAACCCUGGACAGGCGGUGGAAACUACCAAGCUGGAGUAUGGUAGGGGCAGAGGGAAUUUUCGGUGGAGCGGUGAAAUGCGUUGAGAUCGAAAAGAACACCAACAGCGAAAGCACUCUGCUGGGUCGACACUGACACUGAGAGACAAAAUUUAGGGGAGCAAAUGGGAUUAGAUACCCCAUUAGUCCUAGCCGUAAAUGAUGGAUACUAAGUGUUGUACGUAUCGACCCACACAGUGUUUUAGCUAACGUGUUAAGUAUCCCGCCUGGGGAGUAUGUUCGCAAGAAUGAAACUCAAAGGAAUUGACGGGGGCCUGCACAAGCGGUGGAGAAUGUGGUUCAAUUCGAUGCAAAGCGAAGAACCUUACCAGGGCUUGACAUGCUGUGAAUCCUCCCAAAAGAGAGGAGUGCCUUAGGGAACGCGGACACAGGUGGUGCAUGGCUGUCAUCAGAUCGUGCCGUAAGGUGUUGGGUUAAGUCCCGCAACGAGUGCAACCCUCGUGUUUAGUUGCCAGCAUUGAGUUUGGAACCCUGAACAGACUGUCGGUGAUAAGACGGAGGAAGGUGAGGAUGAUGUCAAGUCAUCAUGACCCUUACGCCCUAGGCGCCACACAUGCUACAAUGACCGGGACAAAGGGUCGCGACCCCACAAGGGAAAGCUAACCUCAAAAACCCGACCUCAGUUCGGAUUGCAGGCUGCAACUCGCCUGCAUGAAUCCAAAAUCGCUAGUAAUCGUCGGUCAGCCAUACGGCGGUGAAUCCAUUCCCGGGCCUUGUACACACCGCCCGUCACACUAUGGGAGCUGGCCAUGCCCCAAAUCGUUACCUUAACCGCAAGGAGGGGGAUGCCGAAGGCUGGGCUAGUUGCUGGAGUAAAUUCGUAACAAGGUAGCCGUACUGGAAGGUGCGGCUGGAUCACCUCCUUU